RNAcentral lists this transfer RNA (81 nucleotides) under Chloroflexota bacterium. Its description in RNAcentral is "Chloroflexi bacterium tRNA-Leu". It matches the Rfam family "tRNA". Rfam says of the family: Transfer RNA (tRNA) molecules are approximately 80 nucleotides in length. Their secondary structure includes four short double-helical elements and three loops (D, anti-codon, and T loops). Lineage: Bacteria; Bacillati; Chloroflexota. The record is from RNAcentral.
GGGGCUGUGGCGGAAUGGCAGACGCGGUGGUCUUAAAAACCACUCUCUUCGGGGGUGUGGGUUCGACUCCCACCAGCCCCA